AGCGAACGCUGGCGGCAGGCCCAACACAUGCAAGUCGAACGAACUCUUCGGAGUUAGUGGCGGACGGGUGAGUAACACGUGGGAACGUGCCUUUUGGUUCGGAAUAACUCAGGGAAACUUGUGCUAAUACCGAAUGUGCCCUUCGGGGGAAAGAUUUAUCGCCAUUAGAGCGGCCCGCGUCUGAUUAGCUAGUUGGUGAGGUAACGGCUCACCAAGGCGACGAUCAGUAGCUGGUCUGAGAGGAUGACCAGCCACACUGGGACUGAGACACGGCCCAGACUCCUACGGGAGGCAGCAGUGGGGAAUCUUGCGCAAUGGGCGAAAGCCUGACGCAGCCAUGCCGCGUGAAUGAUGAAGGUCUUAGGAUUGUAAAAUUCUUUCACCGGGGACGAUAAUGACGGUACCCGGAGAAGAAGCCCCGGCUAACUUCGUG
Molecule: ribosomal RNA, 433 nt
Filed under: uncultured bacterium
Lineage: Bacteria
Description: partial 16S ribosomal RNA
Rfam family: Bacterial small subunit ribosomal RNA
Source: RNAcentral